AUAAUUUCUCUUUCUUAUCUUCCUCUGAGCUUUCUGCUCUCCGAUUACGCUAUCAUUAUCAGAAAGAAGAAUCUCACAGUGCCUUGGUGGUAUAGUUUCUCCUAUGUAAGUUUUAUCCACGUAUAACCACUUGGAAGAGGGGAAGAAAUGCAGAUAAUGUAAUCUGAAAAUAACACAGAGAAGAAUGAUCCUAAAGAGGAGUGUAGACACAUUAUGGCAAAGGAGACACAGGCUACAAUGCUGAAACUUUGCUGCGUGAACAAUAAGCCAUGGAAGCUUGUUUAUUGCUAUCAGCUUUGUGAGAAAAUAUCAUUGUCUCCAGGACCCAAGAGCUGCUAGUAUUUGCAGAUUAGCGGGUGCUCCCAAGGAAGUAAAUUCGUAAACUCAGCCAAGUAAUAUUUGCACCGCUGCCAUUUUUGGGUACUACCUCAUAUAAUCUUUGUACACACGCCAAGAACUAAGAGGAAGCUUUCUUGACCAUGGAGCAGAUUCUUACAGGUAAGGUGAGGGGGAAGGUAAAGUAGCAUGACUAAACUUUUCCAUUUCUGCUGUUAAUAGCUUCUGGUCUUGGUCCAGUACCCUGUGAUCCAAUUUCUAGGUUAUGGUGUGUGUAUGAUAUAUUUUUUUGUCACCUUAGAAACGUGAAAAUACUUACUAACUGGCUGAAGAACUUCAUGG
RNAcentral lists this long non-coding RNA (678 nucleotides) under Athene cunicularia (burrowing owl). RNAcentral describes it as "lncRNA (ENSACUG00000006922.1)". Lineage: Eukaryota; Metazoa; Chordata; Aves; Strigiformes; Strigidae. The record is from RNAcentral.